GUAGGUGAACCUGCGGAGGGAUCAUUACAAGAACGCCCGGGCUUCGGCCUGGUUAUUCAUAACCCUUUGUUGUCCGACUCUGUUGCCUCCGGGGCGACCCUGCCUUCGGGCGGGGGCUCCGGGUGGACACUUCAAACUCUUGCGUAACUUUGCAGUCUGAGUAAAACAAACAAAUAAAUCAAAACUUUCAACAACGGAUCUCUUGGUUCUG
RNAcentral lists this unclassified non-coding RNA (211 nucleotides) under rhizosphere metagenome. RNAcentral's name for it is "partial ribosomal RNA internal transcribed spacer region". The record is from RNAcentral.